Molecule: ribosomal RNA, 497 nt
Filed under: uncultured bacterium
Lineage: Bacteria
Description: partial 16S ribosomal RNA
Rfam family: Bacterial small subunit ribosomal RNA
Source: RNAcentral
GAUGAACGCUGGCGGCGUGCCUAAUACAUGCAAGUCGAGCGAACAGACGAGGAGCUUGCUCCUCUGACGUUAGCGGCGGACGGGUGAGUAACACGUGGAUAACCUACCUAUAAGACUGGGAUAACUUCGGGAAACCGGAGCUAAUACCGGAUAAUAUAUUGAACCGCAUGGUUCAAUAGUGAAAGACGGUUUUGCUGUCACUUAUAGAUGGAUCCGCGCCGCAUUAGCUAGUUGGUAAGGUAACGGCUUACCAAGGCAACGAUGCGUAGCCGACCUGAGAGGGUGAUCGGCCACACUGGAACUGAGACACGGUCCGGACUCCUACGGGAGGCAGCAGUAGGGAAUCCUCCGCAAUGGGCAAAAGCUUGACGGAGCAACGCCGCGUGAGUGAUGAAGGUCUUCGGAUCGUAAAACUCUGUUAUUAGGGAAGAACAAAUGUGUAAGUAACUAUGCACGUCUUGACGGUACCUAAUCAGAAAGCCACGGCUAACUACGUG